RNAcentral lists this ribosomal RNA (360 nucleotides) under uncultured bacterium. RNAcentral's name for it is "partial 16S ribosomal RNA". It matches the Rfam family "Bacterial small subunit ribosomal RNA", at positions 338 to 696 of the family's 1533-position model. The record is from RNAcentral.
CCUACGGGAGGCUGCAGUGAGGAAUAUUGGUCAAUGGCCGAGAGGCUGAACCAGCCAAGUCGCGUGAGGGAAGACGGCCCUACGGGUUGUAAACCUCUUUUGUCGGGGAGCAAAGCGAGUCACGUGUGACUUAUUGAGAGUACCCAAAGAAAAAGCAUCGGCUAACUCCGUGCCAGCAGCCGCGGUAAUACGGAGGAUGCGAGCGUUAUCCGGAUUUAUUGGGUUUAAAGGGUGCGCAGGCGGAGGUGCAAGUCAGCGGUUAAAUUGCGGGGCUCAACCCCGUACCGCCGUGGAUACUGGAAACCUUGAGUGCGAGAGAGGUAUGCGGAAUGCGAGGUGUAGCGGUGAAAUGCGUAGAUA